Molecule: long non-coding RNA, 429 nt
Filed under: Linum usitatissimum (flax)
Lineage: Eukaryota; Viridiplantae; Streptophyta; Magnoliopsida; Malpighiales; Linaceae
Description: long non-coding RNA (LUSI_LNC001897)
Source: RNAcentral
CAUAUACUACCGCCAAUAGCAUCGGUGUGAUCGCAUAUUUGACCGGAAUUUCGUAUGAACCAAACACAGCCUUCCUCGGCUACGAAGUUGUUAAAAGAUAGAGACAAAAACAGACAUAAAAAGUACUAAGAGUUGGCAACUGCAUUGUGCAAAUUUGAAUGUGUAGUAGUAAAAGUAUAUUACACAGUUUGUUCUAUCCCAACAUGACAAGACAAAACACAGAUUACAAGAACAAAACAAAAACCUUAGUGAACAAGAAACAAUGUUGCUGCUGCUGCCUUCCAGACAUGUUUUAUAUUCUUCUGAGAUAUUCCCCCGGCCACAAACAAUCGACAAGGAGAACAUCGUUUGCCCAUGAUUAUUCCCCACUCCACAAACAUGCAAGAAUUAAUUUAAAGAAUUAAUGAAGAACCAAGAACACAAGAUAUC